CGAUGUGGGAAGGCCCAGACAGCCAGGAUGUUGGCUUAGAAGCAGCCAUCAUUUAAAGAAAGCGUAAUAGCUCACUGGUCGAGUCGGCCUGCGCGGAAGAUGUAACGGGGCUAAACCAUGCACCGAAGCUGCGGCAGCGACACUGUGUGUUGUUGGGUAGGGGAGCGUUCUGUAAGCCUGUGAAGGUGUGUCGUGAGGCAUGCUGGAGGUAUCAGAAGUGCGAAUGCUGACAUAAGUAACGAUAAAGCGGGUGAAAAGCCCGCUCGCCGGAAGACCAAGGGUUCCUGUCCAACGUUAAUCGGGGCAGGGUGAGUCGACCCCUAAGGCGAGGCCGAAAGGCGUAGUCGAUGGGAAACGGGUUAAUAUUCCCGUACUUGGUGUUACUGCGAAGGGGGGACGGAGAAGGCUAUGUUGGCCGGGCGACGGUUGUCCCGGUUUAAGCGUGUAGGUGUGUGUUCCAGGUAAAUCCGGUUCACUUUAACACUGAGGCGUGACGACGAGGCACUACGGUGCUGAAGCAACAAAUGCCCUGCUUCCAGGAAAAGCCUCUAAGCAUCAGGUAACAUCAAAUCGUACCCCAAACCGACACAGGUGGUCAGGUAGAGAAUACCAAGGCGCUUGAGAGAACUCGGGUGAAGGAACUAGGCAAAAUGGUGCCGUAACUUCGGGAGAAGGCACGCUGACACGUAGGUGAAGUGAUUUACUCAUGGAGCUGAAGUCAGUCGAAGAUACCAGCUGGCUGCAACUGUUUAUUAAAAACACAGCACUGUGCAAACACGAAAGUGGACGUAUACGGUGUGACGCCUGCCCGGUGCCGGAAGGUUAAUUGAUGGGGUCAGCGCAAGCGAAGCUCCUGAUCGAAGCCCCGGUAAACGGCGGCCGUAACUAUAACGGUCCUAAGGUAGCGAAAUUCCUUGUCGGGUAAGUUCCGACCUGCACGAAUGGCGUAAUGAUGGCCAGGCUGUCUCCACCCGAGACUCAGUGAAAUUGAACUCGCUGUGAAGAUGCAGUGUACCCGCGGCAAGACGGAAAGACCCCGUGAACCUUUACUAUAGCUUGACACUGAACAUUGAGCCUUGAUGUGUAGGAUAGGUGGGAGGCUUUGAAGUGUGGACGCCAGUCUGCAUGGAGCCGACCUUGAAAUACCACCCUUUAAUGUUUGAUGUUCUAACGUGGACCCGUUACCCGGGUUGCGGACAGUGUCUGGUGGGUAGUUUGACUGGGGCGGUCUCCUCCUAAAGAGUAACGGAGGAGCACGAAGGUUGGCUAAUCCUGGUCGGACAUCAGGAGGUUAGUGCAAUGGCAUAAGCCAGCUUGACUGCGAGCGUGACGGCGCGAGCAGGUGCGAAAGCAGGUCAUAGUGAUCCGGUGGUUCUGAAUGGAAGGGCCAUCGCUCAACGGAUAAAAGGUACUCCGGGGAUAACAGGCUGAUACCGCCCAAGAGUUCAUAUCGACGGCGGUGUUUGGCACCUCGAUGUCGGCUCAUCACAUCCUGGGGCUGAAGUAGGUCCCAAGGGUAUGGCUGUUCGCCAUUUAAAGUGGUACGCGAGCUGGGUUUAGAACGUCGUGAGACAGUUCGGUCCCUAUCUGCCGUGGGCGCUGGAGAACUGAGGGGGGCUGCUCCUAGUACGAGAGGACCGGAGUGGACGCAUCACUGGUGUUCGGGUUGUCAUGCCAAUGGCACUGCCCGGUAGCUAAAUGCGGAAGAGAUAAGUGCUGAAAGCAUCUAAGCACGAAACUUGCCCCGA
Molecule: ribosomal RNA, 1748 nt
Filed under: Salmonella enterica
Lineage: Bacteria; Pseudomonadati; Pseudomonadota; Gammaproteobacteria; Enterobacterales; Enterobacteriaceae
Description: partial 23S ribosomal RNA
Rfam family: Bacterial large subunit ribosomal RNA
Source: RNAcentral